Non-coding RNA from Camellia sinensis, 2788 nucleotides. Lineage: Eukaryota; Viridiplantae; Streptophyta; Magnoliopsida; Ericales; Theaceae. The record is from RefSeq and is a predicted model, not a curated record.
GUUAGUAAAAUUUUUGUUAGGCUUAGAUCGAUAAAGCCUCAACUAAAAUUUCACCAAACAACAUAAUGAUCAAACAAAUGUGUUGAGGUUCUAUGCCUUGAAAGUUCAAGAACUUUCUUGGAAUAAAAAUAAUGACAAUACAAACAAGAAAAAGAGAGAGAGAAGAAGAAGAUGAUGAUAUAAAUGAUUGAAUGAACAAUCAGAUGCAAGUAAAGUAUAUUAAGACUACUCCUAUCUAAGUUUAAACUACUCAUAUGUAGAUUAGAUCUACUCCUAGGAUGGAAAAGAAAUAGAAAUCAAGUCAUGUAUUAAUUUGUUGGUGUCUUACAAUAGAACCAUUAAUGGCAAUUUAUAGAAAAAAUGAAGGAAAAAACUUCCAUUAACCACCACCUAAAUAACUACUUUUAACUUCCUAAAUCUUCAAUAUUCUUUCUUACAAUGCCAUGUGUCUUUCAUCCCUUGAAUCUUCAAAACUUGUCUUAACUUCUCUUUAACCUCCAACAUAAUAAUAAUAAUAAGAAGAAGAAGAAGAAGAAGAAGAAGAAGAAGAAAAAGAAGUAAUAGAAAAUUUAAACCUAGUCAUAGUCGACAGAAAAUUUAUUUGUGGUGCAAACUAUUACAUAUUGUGAUAUUAGUACAUUUGCUAUCUUUUUUGUUUGUUUGUUUGUUUCUUCUUAUCUACUUGAAUUGCACACACACUCAUCACUUGUGCCAGAUGCUAGUAUACAUAUAUGUAGAGAAUAACAUUAGACAAUUAUAAGUCUUGACUUUUUUUCCAUACCACUAUAAAUAUCUUUUAUAUCCCUCCAUAUUUAUUUUGUAAGCCUCACUUUGGGCUUACAACAAUGAUUCGAACGGUUCAUAUCGUAAAUCUUAUAGUGAAAAUCACAUAUGCAAAAAAUCAGUUUCGUCAGAUAUCGAUGAAUAUAUGAACAAAUCAUAUUUUUAUUUUAUAAAAUUGACGGUUUAAGUUAAACUCACAGUUACUAUCCAUUUAAAAGAAACAAAAUGUAAUUUGUUCAUGUGUCUACUGAUGUUUAAUGAAACUUAUUUUUUCCUACAACUCGUCUUUAGUGUUGGGCUUACAAGAUGAACGGUUCAUAUCAUCAUUAUGGGCUUGGGAUGUGAAUCAUGAAAUAGACUUUGGCGGACUAUGGAGGAUAGUGGUAUGGAGGAGGGUCAUAGGUAAUGUUACGGUUCGUGAAAUAAAUAUCAUGAAAAGUUUCAUUAAACUAAUCCAAAAGUGAUUGCAUAAUAUACAAUAAAACACUACAAACUAAACCAAAAUGAAGAAUCUUCAUAAUUUUUUUUUACGAUAUUUCUUUUAUGAAACUUAACAUUAUUGGAGGGUCAUUCCCUAAUGGAAGGAAAUCAACUCAAUAUAACAAAAUUUCCAUAAUAGAAAAAAAAAAAAAAAAGUUCUUACCUUUACAGGACUCUACUCAUUAACCUCCCAAUUAAAAUGUACAGGAGUGAUCAAUUAGUAAAUACCACAUAGUCCUUAGAUGUCAGUUUUUGUUAAAAUAUGGACAAUAGUUAGUAAUUGGAUAAAAUUAAGAAAAAUAAAUAACCUAAAUAGUUUUUUUUUUAAAUUUUAAAUUUUUAAUUUUUUUAAUGGGUUAAACAAGAACCAAACUAGCUACAAAGUUUCAUCCAUAACAAGAUGAGAUAACUCAGAGGGACCUUCUUCCAUCCAAACCUUCAACCCAAGUGCAUGUUGGGCCAUCCGAGCCAAUUCAUGAGCAAUUUUAUUUCAUUCUCUUAAGAUGUAUGAGCAAUAGAAUCUCCGAAAUCCUCUACUCAAUCCAAUUGCACCUUGAAUAAUAUGUCCAAAAGGAGAUAACAAUUGUCCAUUUUCUUGGAAAGCCUUCACAAUAUUCAGUGAGUCACCUUCCAACUCUGUCAUUCCCAAUCCUAACUCUCGGGCAAACUCCACCGCCCUUGCGGCUGCACAAGCUCCACACAAUCUGCCUCCACGCAUUGUUGGAGCCUCUCUAAUAAUGCACGAAUCACUUGCCAAUUUUGAUCUCAAACAAUCACCCCAACCCCAAUAGCUUUUUCUCGCCCAAAAACAACACCAUCAAAGUUGAGCUUGAAGACACCCACACCCGGAGGUUUCCAUUGUCAGUGAUUCAUGAGGGGGCACCAUUAAUCCUUUACGAUAUCAAUUACAAAACUUACCCAAAUCUAAUUUUUAUUUGGCGAUAGAAUGACCAAAGAUUUACGUGAUGUCAAAAUUAUGUGCCUUAGAUAUGUUUUAAUUAACCGGUGUUUUUUUUAUUUGCUAUUUUAAUUACUAAAUAUAAUGAUAAUCACAAUUUAAAAUGUAAUAAAAUGCAUACAAAAAAAGAAAGGAAAAAAAAGAAUAAGAUAGAUGUGGAGGAAAACAAGAGACAAAUGAGAGAGAUAGAAAUAAUUAUAAGAAAAUAUUUUGAUAAAAUUAAACAUUAAUUAUUAGGAAUUUAUUAAAAAGAAAGAGAGAAGAAAGAUGAGAUACAAACAUUUUAAAACAUAUUUAAAAAUUUAAAGGGAGUUAAAUAAAAAAAAAAUCUAAUUAGAGAUAAAAGUGUAAUUUUUAAAAAAAUGAGGGGCACGUGCCCCCUGAACCCUAUGUAGCUUCGUCCAUGGCCAUCGUAGUGGAAUGUGACCUAGACGAGGGCCUUGCACCGCGCCUUUGCUUGCCCAAACUCCUGUAGUAAAUCACAAGCUUGCCUCAUAAUCUUCUUAGUAAUCCCAACAUUUUUAUUAAAGAUGGCUUGACUUUGGGCUAACCAUAGACCCCCCAACA